RNAcentral lists this ribosomal RNA (574 nucleotides) under uncultured freshwater bacterium. Its description in RNAcentral is "bacterial SSU rRNA". It matches the Rfam family "Bacterial small subunit ribosomal RNA", at positions 8 to 577 of the family's 1533-position model. The record is from RNAcentral.
AGAGUUUGAUCCUGGCUCAGAUUGAACGCUGGCGGCAUGCCUUACACAUGCAAGUCGAACGGCAGCACGGGUGCUUGCACCUGGUGGCGAGUGGCGAACGGGUGAUGAUANAUCGGAACGUACCUUAUCGUGGGGGAUAACGCAGCGAAAGCUGCGCUAAUACCGCAUACGCCCUGAGGGGGAAAGCGGGGGACCGUAAGGCCUCGCGCGAUUAGAGCGGCCGAUAUCUGAUUAGCUUGUUGGUGGGGUAAAAGCCCACCAAGGCGACGAUCAGUAGCUGGUCUGAGAGGACGAUCAGCCACACUGGGACUGAGACACGGCCCAGACUCCUACGGGAGGCAGCAGUGGGGAAUUUUGGACAAUGGGGGCAACCCUGAUCCAGCAAUGCCGCGUGAGUGAAGAAGGCCUUCGGGUUGUAAAGCUCUUUUGUCAGGGAAGAAACAGCAGCUCUAACACAGUCUGCGAAUGACGGUACCUGAAGAAUAAGCACCGGCUAACUACGUGCCAGCAGCCGCGGUAAUACGUAGGGUGCAAGCGUUAAUCGGAAUUACUGGGCGUAAAGCGUGCGCAGGCG